This is a non-coding RNA of Cinara cedri, 254 nucleotides long. Lineage: Eukaryota; Metazoa; Arthropoda; Insecta; Hemiptera; Aphididae. The record is from the annotation of a GenBank genome assembly.
AUUUUAUUUUCAUUUCAAACAUACAAUCUACUUGUAUAUUUCCUAUUAGUAUUAACUAUAAUAAUUUAUUUAUAAAUUGUUGUUUCUUUGAUUUUAAAUACUCCAAUUGUUUUAUUGCGAUUAAUAAAUCGUGAUUAAGUAGACCUCGCACCACAAAACAUGACUCAUUGUAGUAUAAUAUUAUAUAGGUACCCAAUGGAUUUGUAAUCGAGUUAACGUAGCCAUUUUUAUUAGGUAUUAAUCUGGUUUGUUUU